GAUGAACGCUGGCGGCGUGCCUAAUACAUGCAAGUCGAGCGAACAGACGAGGAGCUUGCUCCUCUGACGUUAGCGGCGGACGGGUGAGUAACACGUGGAUAACCUACCUAUAAGACUGGGAUAACUUCGGGAAACCGGAGCUAAUACCGGAUAAUAUAUUGAACCGCAUGGUUCAAUAGUGAAAGACGGUUUUGCUGUCACUUAUAGAUGGAUCCGCGCCGCAUUAGCUAGUUGGUAAGGUAACGGCUUACCAAGGCAACGAUGCGUAGCCGACCUGAGAGGGUAAUCGCCACACUGGAACUGAGACACGGUCCAGACUCCUACGGGAGGCAGCAGUAGGGAAUCUUCCGCAAUGGGCGAAAGCCUGACGGAGCAACGCCGCGUGAGUGAUGAAGGUCUUCGGAUCGUAAAACUCUGUUAUUAGGGAAGAACAAAUGUGUAAGUAACUAUGCACGUCUUGACGGUACCUAAUCAGAAAGCCACGGCUAACUACGUG
RNAcentral lists this ribosomal RNA (496 nucleotides) under uncultured bacterium. Its description in RNAcentral is "partial 16S ribosomal RNA". It matches the Rfam family "Bacterial small subunit ribosomal RNA", at positions 28 to 507 of the family's 1533-position model. The record is from RNAcentral.